Molecule: ribosomal RNA, 434 nt
Filed under: Bifidobacterium adolescentis
Lineage: Bacteria; Bacillati; Actinomycetota; Actinomycetes; Bifidobacteriales; Bifidobacteriaceae
Description: bacterial SSU rRNA
Rfam family: Bacterial small subunit ribosomal RNA
Source: RNAcentral
CCUGUGUUGCCAGCACGUCGUGGUGGGAACUCACGGGGGACCGCCGGGGUCAACUCGGAGGAAGGUGGGGAUGACGUCAGAUCAUCAUGCCCCUUACGUCCAGGGCUUCACGCAUGCUACAAUGGCCGGUACAACGGGAUGCGACACUGUGAGGUGGAGCGGAUCCCUUAAAACCGGUCUCAGUUCGGAUUGGAGUCUGCAACCCGACUCCAUGAAGGCGGAGUCGCUAGUAAUCGCGGAUCAGCAACGCCGCGGUGAAUGCGUUCCCGGGCCUUGUACACACCGCCCGUCAAGUCAUGAAAGUGGGUAGCACCCGAAGCCGGUGGCCCAACCUUUUGGGGGGAGCCGUCUAAGGUGAGACUCGUGAUUGGGACUAAGUCGUAACAAGGUAGCCGUACCGGAAGGUGCGGCUGGAUCACCUCCUUUCUACGGAG